This is a long non-coding RNA of Saccostrea echinata, 338 nucleotides long. RefSeq lists it as uncharacterized. The record is from RefSeq and is a predicted model, not a curated record. NCBI's taxonomy places the organism in Eukaryota, Metazoa, Mollusca, Bivalvia, Ostreida, Ostreidae. The transcript has 3 exons.
UCUGUGUGUUGUUUACGAAUGUCAUGGAGGUCUUGCAAUAAAUCGACCGUUCAAAUAUGGUGACACAGUCAAGAGUGUAUAUAGCUGGAUUAUACAACAAAUGGAUCCAGAAAUUCUUCCCCCGGUGUUCCAUUUAGAGUGCUCAUCCCCAACCAGUUGCCAGAACAAAGGAUGCCCCCAUAUAUAUGAAUUGGGCAACAGCUAUAAAGUUAAGGUCGAGGAGUUGCCGGAUGUCUUAUACCUUCGUGAAGGGUGUUUUGCUGUAAAUGAUACCUUUACUGGUCUUGGGGAUGUCCUGAUUUAGCCAGUCAGCAGCAUUCAGGAAUUUUGUGGCGGCC